This is a long non-coding RNA of Nerophis lumbriciformis (worm pipefish), 167 nucleotides long. RefSeq lists it as uncharacterized. The record is from RefSeq and is a predicted model, not a curated record. Lineage: Eukaryota; Metazoa; Chordata; Actinopteri; Syngnathiformes; Syngnathidae.
AGCUACGUGACGCUUCGUAUGUUUUACAUCAAUGGACUCCAUACAGUCCCAUCCAGAGAAGAAAAGGCUGUCAUGGGAUUGCUUCAGAAAUUGGUCUGCGCUCACCACAAAUUAGCUCUGCUGCACCCUCUAUGAUGUUAACUGGUGAACAUCCUGAUAAACUGAAG